AACGCACAUUGCGCUCUCGAGCUCGCCUCGAGAGCAUGCCUCUUUCAGUGUCGGUUAUACCCUACUCUCGACUCUCUAUGCAAGUAGAGCGCACCGAGGACGAUCUGAGGCGUCUCGAGUCUUGUACCCGAGUCCCUUCAAGUUGACGGCGGCACUCCAUGCCCCGCACCUGCGAUUCGAUUGCACACGCACUCGGUUAUUCGCCAAUGUGAUAUGUUGUCGCAAGACAGCCCACUUCCGUUGGCUCGAGUAUAAGAGACUCAAAUGCGUGCGCUCGAGGAAGAGUGCGACGGCGUCGCCUGGACGUUGAACCGCGGACGCAAAAAAUCCGUGCGGACGACACCAUACCAAACCAUCUGACCUGAAAUGAAGUAAGAUUACCCGCUGAACUUAA
This 394-nucleotide unclassified non-coding RNA is filed under the name uncultured fungus. RNAcentral describes it as "partial contains ITS1, 5.8S rRNA and ITS2". The record is from RNAcentral. Lineage: Eukaryota; Fungi.